GACGAACGCUGGCGGCGUGCUUAACACAUGCAAGUCGAACGGAAAGGCCCUGCUUUUGUGGGGUGCUCGAGUGGCGAACGGGUGAGUAACACGUGAGUAACCUGCCCUUGACUUUGGGAUAACUUCAGGAAACUGGGGCUAAUACCGGAUAGGAGCUCCUGCUGCAUGGUGGGGGUUGGAAAGUUUCGGCGGUUGGGGAUGGACUCGCGGCUUAUCAGCUUGUUGGUGGGGUAGUGGCUUACCAAGGCUUUGACGGGUAGCCGGCCUGAGAGGGUGACCGGCCACAUUGGGACUGAGAUACGGCCCAGAAUCCUACGGGAGGCAGCAGUGGGGAAUAUUGCACAAUGGGCGGAAGCCUGAUGCAGCAACGCCGCGUGCGGGAUGACGGCCUUCGGGUUGUAAACCGCUUACGCCUGUGACGAAGCGUGAGUGACGGUAAUGGGUAAAGAAGCACCGGCUAACUACGUG
This 468-nucleotide ribosomal RNA is filed under the name uncultured bacterium. RNAcentral describes it as "partial 16S ribosomal RNA". It matches the Rfam family "Bacterial small subunit ribosomal RNA", at positions 28 to 507 of the family's 1533-position model. The record is from RNAcentral.